AGGGAAAGGCGAAAAGAACCCCGGCGAGGGGAGUGAAAAAGAACCUGAAACCGUGUACGUACAAGCAGUGGGAGCACAGGUUUACCUGUGUGACUGCGUACCUUUUGUAUAAUGGGUCAGCGACUUAUAUUCUGUAGCAAGGUUAACCGAAUAGGGGAGCCGGAGGGAAACCGAGUCUUAAUUGGGCGUUAAGUUGCAGGGUAUAGACCCGAAACCCGGUGAUCUAGCCAUGGGCAGGUUGAAGGUUGGGUAACACUAACUGGAGGACCGAACCGACUAAUGUUGAAAAAUUAGCGGAUGACCUGUGGCUGGGGGUGAAAGGCCAAUCAAACCGGGAGAUAGCUGGUUCUCCCCGAAAGCUAUUUAGGUAGCGCCUCGUGAAUUCAUCUCCGGGGGUAGAGCACUGUUUCGGCUAGGGGGCCAUCCCGGCUUACCAACCCGAUGCAAACUGCGAAUACCGGAGAAUGUUAUCACGGGAGACACACGGCGGGUGCUAACGUCCGUCGUGAAGAGGGAAACAACCCAGACCGCCAGCUAAGGUCCCAAAGUCAUGGUUAAGUGGGAAACGAUGUGGGAAGGCCCAGACAGCCAGGAUGUUGGCUUAGAAGCAGCCAUCAUUUAAAGAAAGCGUAAUAGCUCACUGGUCGAGUCGGCCUGCGCGGAAGAUGUAACGGGGCUAAACCAU
Molecule: ribosomal RNA, 685 nt
Filed under: Salmonella enterica subsp. enterica serovar Dublin
Lineage: Bacteria; Pseudomonadati; Pseudomonadota; Gammaproteobacteria; Enterobacterales; Enterobacteriaceae
Description: partial 23S ribosomal RNA
Rfam family: Bacterial large subunit ribosomal RNA
Source: RNAcentral